GAAAAAUAGGAAUGUGUCGGAGGAAAUAAUGAAAAUUAUCGACGAUGAUGCACUAUGAACUUCCUUCAACUGGGCUCUGUUGCUUAUGAAACUGUACUGAAAUCAUUGAAGAGUUGUUUGAAGACAAACGAGAAUGAAGUUGAGAAGGAGAAAGAGAAUGAAAAAGAUUUGGAUAGCUACACUUUAGUUGGCUUUCCUUUGCUUUUUGUGUGUGGAUUAUGGAAGUACUUCCUCUAUUCCAAGAAGAACAAUUUGUGAAAUUCAUAGAAUUGAGUUAUCCUAGAAUGUUCUGUUAUUCUGAUAUGAAGUCUCCACAAUUUGAGUCUCUUUGCAAAAGUAGAAUUGGGUUAUCCUAGAAUGAAGUGCUUCCUCUAUUCCAAGAAGAACAAUUUGUGAAAUUCACAGAAUUGGGUUAUCCUAGAAUGUUAUGUUAUUCUGAUAUGAAGUCUCCACAAUUUGAGCCUCUUUGCAAAAA
This 475-nucleotide long non-coding RNA is filed under the name Nicotiana benthamiana. RNAcentral describes it as "long non-coding RNA (NBEN_LNC012502)". Lineage: Eukaryota; Viridiplantae; Streptophyta; Magnoliopsida; Solanales; Solanaceae. The record is from RNAcentral.